Molecule: transfer RNA, 73 nt
Filed under: Capra hircus (goat)
Lineage: Eukaryota; Metazoa; Chordata; Mammalia; Artiodactyla; Bovidae
Also listed under: 1 other name
Rfam family: tRNA
About the family: Transfer RNA (tRNA) molecules are approximately 80 nucleotides in length. Their secondary structure includes four short double-helical elements and three loops (D, anti-codon, and T loops). Further hydrogen bonds mediate the characteristic L-shaped molecular structure. tRNAs have two regions of fundamental functional importance: the anti-codon, which is responsible for specific mRNA codon recognition, and the 3' end, to which the tRNAs corresponding amino acid is attached (by aminoacyl-tRNA synthetases). tRNAs cope with the degeneracy of the genetic code in two manners: having more than one tRNA (with a specific anti-codon) for a particular amino acid; and 'wobble' base-pairing, i.e. permitting non-standard base-pairing at the 3rd anti-codon position.
Source: Rfam by way of RNAcentral
UCCCUGAUUGUCCAGUGGUUAAGACUUGGUGCUCUCACUGCCAUGGGCCCAGGUUCAAUCCCUGGUCAGGGAA